GGUUUCGUAGCUCACAUUGUAGAGCGCUUGCUGUGUUGAGGCAUGGUGUUUCUGUCGCUGGUUCGAAUCCAGCUGAAGCCA
Paragonimus heterotremus is the source of this 81-nucleotide non-coding RNA. NCBI's taxonomy places the organism in Eukaryota, Metazoa, Platyhelminthes, Trematoda, Plagiorchiida, Troglotrematidae. The record is from the annotation of a GenBank genome assembly.